RNAcentral lists this ribosomal RNA (786 nucleotides) under uncultured Alphaproteobacteria bacterium. Its description in RNAcentral is "bacterial SSU rRNA". It matches the Rfam family "Bacterial small subunit ribosomal RNA", at positions 44 to 878 of the family's 1533-position model. Lineage: Bacteria; Pseudomonadati; Pseudomonadota; Alphaproteobacteria. The record is from RNAcentral.
AUGCCUCAUACAUGCAAGUCGAACGAGGUCUUCGGACCUAGUGGCGCACGGGUGAGUAACAUGUGGGAAUCUACCUGAAGGUUCGGAAUAACUGCGGGAAACUGUAGCUAAUACCGGAUGUGUCUGCAAAGAGAAAGAUUUAUCGCCUUCAGAUGAGCCCGCACUAGAUUAGCUAGUUGGUGAGGUAACUGCUCCACCAAGGCUACGAUCUAUAGCUGAUUUGAGAGGAUGAUCAGCCACACUGGGACUGAGACACGGCCCAGACUCCUACGGGAGGCAGCAGUAGGGAAUAUUGGACAAUGGGGGAAACCCUGAUCCAGCAAUGCCGCGUGAGUGAAGAAGGCCUUCGGGUUGUAAAGCUCUUUCAUCAAUGAUGAUAAUGACAUUAGUUGAAGAAGAAGCCCCGGCUAACUUCGUGCCAGCAGCCGCGGUAAUACGAAGGGGGCUAGCGUUGUUCGGAAUCACUGGGCGUAAAGCGUAUGUAGGCGGAUCAAAAAGUUAGAUGUGAAAUCCCUGGGCUCAACCCAGGAACUGCAUUUAAAACUAGUGAUCUAGAAUUUGGUAGGGGUUAGUAGAAUUUCCAGUGUAGAGGUGAAAUUCGUAGAUAUUGGAAAGAAUACCAGUGGCGAAGGCGACUAACUGGGCCAUUUUUGACGCUGAGAUACGAAAGCGUGGGUAGCAAACAGGAUUAGAUACCCUGGUAGUCCACGCAGUAAACGAUGAGUGCUAGUCGCUGGGACAAUAGUUUCAGUGUCGAAGCUAACGCAUUAAGCACUCCGCCUGGGA